AUUGAACGCUAGCGGGAUGCCUUACACAUGCAAGUCGAACGGAGUGGCGAACGGGUGAGUAAUGUAUCGGAAUGUGCCCAGUAGCGGUGGAUAACUACGCGAAAGCGUAGCUAAUACCGCAUACUCUUGGAGCGGCCGAUGUCGGUUUAGCUUGUUGGUGGGGUAGCGGCUCACCAAGGCGACGAUCCCUAGCGGGUUUGAGAGGACGACCAGCCACACUGGGACUGAGACACGGCCCAGACUCCUACGGGAGGCAGCAGUGGGGAAUUUUGGACAAUGGGGGAAACCCUGAUCCAGCCAGCCCGCGUGUGCGAUGAAGGCCUUCGGGUUGUAAAGCACUUUUGGCAGGAAAGCGGUACCUGCAGAAUAAGCACCGGCUAACUACGUGCCAGCAGCCGCGGUAAUUC
RNAcentral lists this ribosomal RNA (407 nucleotides) under uncultured bacterium. Its description in RNAcentral is "partial 16S ribosomal RNA". It matches the Rfam family "Bacterial small subunit ribosomal RNA", at positions 30 to 526 of the family's 1533-position model. The record is from RNAcentral.